GAUGAACGCUGGCGGCGUGCCUAAUACAUGCAAGUCGAGCGAACGGACGAGAAGCUUGCUUCUCUGAUGUUAGCGGCGGACGGGUGAGUAACACGUGGAUAACCUACCUAUAAGACUGGGAUAACUUCGGGAAACCGGAGCUAAUACCGGAUGAUAUUUUGAACCGCAUGGUUCAAAAGUGAAAGACGGUCUUGCUGUCACUUAUAGAUGGAUCCGCGCUGCAUUAGCUAGUUGGUAAGGUAACGGCUUACCAAGGCAACGAUGCAUAGCCGACCUGAGAGGGUGAUCGGCCACACUGGAACUGAGACACGGUCCAGACUCCUACGGGAGGCAGCAGUAGGGAAUCUUCCGCAAUGGGCGAAAGCCUGACGGAGCAACGCCGCGUGAGUGAUGAAGGUCUUCGGAUCGUAAAACUCUGUUAUUAGGGAAGAACAUAUGUGUAAGUAACUGUGCACAUCUUGACGGUACCUAAUCAGGAAGCCACGGCUAACUACGUG
RNAcentral lists this ribosomal RNA (497 nucleotides) under uncultured bacterium. RNAcentral describes it as "partial 16S ribosomal RNA". It matches the Rfam family "Bacterial small subunit ribosomal RNA", at positions 28 to 507 of the family's 1533-position model. The record is from RNAcentral.